Molecule: non-coding RNA, 73 nt
Organism: Gossypium raimondii (Peruvian cotton)
Lineage: Eukaryota; Viridiplantae; Streptophyta; Magnoliopsida; Malvales; Malvaceae
Source: the annotation of a RefSeq genome assembly
UCAAGCAGGGAAAACAGCUAUUAACAGCUGAUAUGCUAUAACAGAUAUGCGACAACCGGCAUAUCUAACUCUA